Erpetoichthys calabaricus (reedfish) is the source of this 417-nucleotide long non-coding RNA. RefSeq lists it as uncharacterized. Lineage: Eukaryota; Metazoa; Chordata; Cladistia; Polypteriformes; Polypteridae. The transcript is spliced from 3 exons. The record is from RefSeq and is a predicted model, not a curated record.
AAACAAGAAAGAAACUGCCACAAAACACUGGAACAACAAUGGAAGAAAUCUUGAGAAAGGCAUUUCAGAGAACUAAAGACUCAGGGUAGACAGAUCCAGGGUGCCAGGCUGGUAGGAAGCAGACAACAAAGAUGAAGCAUGGACAGUCCCUACUUUAUUAAAGGAAUCAGUAAGUAUUGGAAAGAGCACGAUUCCCAAACCAAAAAAGAAAAUAAUUCCUAAUGUUUCCAGGAAACAGAAGAGACCGUUAUGAAGCUAGGAUUUCCAUGAUUCACAACACAGAGGAGAGAAAGGUAAUGCUUUAGUUAACGUGUUAAUAAGUAUGAGGUCACUCUAGCCCUUCAAAGAAUUAGCACAAGUGUGCCUUUUAGUUCAGCCCAAUGUCAAUACUGACUGGCACUGCUGGGGCACUAACCU